Molecule: ribosomal RNA, 90 nt
Filed under: Clostridium butyricum
Lineage: Bacteria; Bacillati; Bacillota; Clostridia; Eubacteriales; Clostridiaceae
Source: RNAcentral
CUCCUUCCCAUUCCGAACAGGACAGUUAAGGUCUAUAGCGCCGAUGGUACUGCAUGGGAGACUGUGUGGAAGAGUAGGACGUCGCCAGGU